Sycon ciliatum is the source of this 1852-nucleotide long non-coding RNA. RefSeq lists it as uncharacterized. The transcript has 5 exons. Lineage: Eukaryota; Metazoa; Porifera; Calcarea; Leucosolenida; Sycettidae. The record is from RefSeq and is a predicted model, not a curated record.
AGAUCACAUCGCUAUUCGGUCGGCACAGCUCAGUCUUCCAUUUCUCACGACACAGUCCAGUUGUCCGUUUUCGUCUCCCUCCCUUUCUCAUUUGUUGUAAACGUCUUCUAGUGUUGUUGAAAAGUGCCUACCUACCUUUGUUAGUCGUGCAUUAUCCUUUCCAGUCAUUGUUACUCGUGCUCUCAACUACUAAUCAGUCUGUAGUGGCUACAACGCUCUCUCAGUGAAUAACAAGUUCAGCACAACGUUCUCUCAGUGAGUAACAAGUUCAGCACAACGCUUUCCUUCUCUAAACGACCUACUUACUCCAGUCAGCCUACACCGCAAACGUUUGAGGAAGAUUUCACCGAACGGACAACUUACUCAACAUGUCCAGUCAAGACGUCGAAGGAUUUGCUGUGGAAGUACGGCGACGGGAUGCCACAACGGAAAGUCUUCAGGCUGCUGUGCCUCCUGAGCAGCCGCAAUUGUCCUCCACAUCACGUAAAGUGACAUGGAAACCAUCAUCAUCAUCAUACCCAUGGACACGCUGCUACUCAAUGGGAACAAUGCUCAUUCUUGUGAUCUGCUUGGAGGGUGAGCAUCUUCGUGAUGAAAUCCUCUACACUAUUGUACACUACAUAUUUAGUGUACAUAGUGUAGAGGUGGAUGAGCAAGACGAAACUUACAACAACCGGACACUACUGCACUGGUGUGCAAUGUGUGGAAAUGAUCGACUAGCAAAUAUUCUCAUCGGACGAGGAGCUGAUGUCAAUGUGCAGGACAGCAGCGGGCUACGAUGGACUCCACUUCACAGGGCAGUCAACAAUAACCAGAUCAAUGUUGUCAAGGUGAUGCUGUCACAUGACAGUGACGGUGUCACCUUGGAUACCACACUGCGUAACAGUGUAAGUAUUUGAUUGUGUGUUGUUGUGAAGUGAACAGUUUCUACUCGUCCUUCUCACCUGUGCUGCCUCUCUCUCUCUCUCUCUCUCUCUCUCUCUCUCUCUCUCUCUCUCUCUGCCCCUUGCUCUCUCUCUCUCUCACACACAACUACCACAACUCUCCUCUUGUCAGAAAUGUGUACCAGUUGUACAAUACCGUACUCGAUGACAUCAUGCGUACAAUAUCGCCACGUGGUCAUAUUCACUCUGUGGUUCAAUUUUGAAUAUUUCGAAAUCAGUAUGUGAAGGAGUAGACUGUUUGAUGGUGUCUGUUGGAACGAGUGAGGAGUGAAGGGUUGUUGUUAUUGUUACGAGUACGCAGAAGACAUGCUGUUGUUCCUGACGUGGAGCAGGCGCUGUGGACGUCCUCCUCUCGUCGUGGAUAUUUUCGUUCGAGUAGAAAUCUGAAAAAAAAUUCAAAUUUGUCGAGGCAUGAACUGCAUGGAGUAGCAAUGUUGCUGAGGAAGGAGAGACUUGUUCUGUACAUAUAAGUUGUCUUGUGGAGAGGUUGAUUUCGUCUGGUUGUAGAUUAUGUCCUUGGCCUUCGCUGUGUUUUUGUUUUUGUAAAAAUUAGGGACCAUCGCAAAAGUUCGCAGAAGCCCCUGAAACGAAGAGCAUACGUUUGGGGGGGAGGGAGUCGGUGCGAAAAUCGCAAACCGGGCUUCAAUUCAAAAAAGUAUUGACGACAUAAUUAUAGGAGCUGUAGGAUUAGCAUGCCAUCACAGCGGGCGUAGAUCGCUUGUCAGGACGCGUAGUCCAUUCAUGCAACUGCGCGUGUCGCGUAGCUGGCUGGCUGUACACUGUGUGUAGUCUAGUACCAAGAGUCCAUAAAACGCGUGGUUUAUGGACUCUUGCUAGUACUAGUACUAGCAGGGGUUCAUAGGGUUUAUGAACCCCUGCUGUAUUAUUAUAAUAAUUAUUAUGUGUGA